UACGUAGGGUGCGAGCGUUAAUCGGAAUUACUGGGCGUAAAGCGUGCGCAGGCGGUUCGUUGUGUCGGCGGUGAAAGCCCCCGGCUCAACUGGGGAGGGUCAUUCGAUACUGAUCGACUCGAAGGCAGGAGAGGGUAGUGGAAUUCCCGGUGUAGUGGUGAAAUGCGUAGAUAUCGGGAGGAACACCAGUGGCGAAGGCGACUACCUGGCCUGUUCUUGACGCUGAGGCGCGAAAGCUAGGGGAGCAAACGGG
Molecule: ribosomal RNA, 253 nt
Filed under: uncultured bacterium
Lineage: Bacteria
Description: partial 16S ribosomal RNA
Rfam family: Bacterial small subunit ribosomal RNA
Source: RNAcentral